Betta splendens (Siamese fighting fish) is the source of this 1530-nucleotide long non-coding RNA. RefSeq lists it as uncharacterized. The record is from RefSeq and is a predicted model, not a curated record. Lineage: Eukaryota; Metazoa; Chordata; Actinopteri; Anabantiformes; Osphronemidae. The transcript has 2 exons.
AGAUUUUUUCCCCACUGAAAAACGGAGGUGUCACCGGCGGCGGCGGCGUCUCGUAUCAUAUUUUAAAUUGUGCACAUAAACGAGAGUUUUAUCACGCGAGUUGCUGUAGAAGCGGAUGGCAACACAAUAGGAGGGAUGCAGAACAUGGAGGGAUGUCAAGAAGAACAGGUGGCAGGGAUGACAGAAUGCAGGAAAUGAGGAAAAAAACCCCAGCAACGAGGGGCUGAAGCUUUUCCAGAAGAACGGCAAAAAAAUAUAAGCUGUCGAUUGGAGAGAGGAUUAAACAAGGAGAGAGAGAAGAGGAUGGGAGGCCGAUCGAAGGACAGAGCGGAGGCAGAUGGGAUUGUUCUGCUCCGCUACUAAUGUUCCUCGGAAGAAUUAAAGUCCAGGAAGAAGUCGGCGCGUGCGCGCGCGCGCACGCCCGCUGCCCCGGCGCUCGCCUCCAGUCCCUCCCGGCUUCGCUGGCGGUAGUUAGUGACUUAGUGACCCGUGCGACUCCUCGCACCGGCAUCGGUCCCUGUAGUAGCGCGUGGUCGAUGCAAAGUGUCGCCUCGCUAAAUGCGGACGCACACGCGCACGCGCGCACACACAUUUCACACGCCGCCCGCUGUAAGUGUUAAGUACAUUCUUCCGACGCCUCUCUCGAUAACAGAAUGAAUGCGGGGUGCGAUGCGGAGUCGAGGGAUGAGCGACGGAGUGAGAGCGAGGAGGAAGCUGAUGGCGUCUGUGUCCUACUGUCACAAUUAGUGUAAUGCGGCGUCAAAACGAGGCCCCAGUCGAGUCGAGCACGGAGGACCUCGGCUUCAUUCUCCGUCAGUGCAAAGGAAGGGGAGGAAAGAGUGGUUUGUUAGAAUGAGUGCCUCCGGAUGAAUCACCUGCUUUUGAAGGGAGUCCAAAGAGCAGCAGAGAGACCAAUUAAGUACAGGUGCAGACGUAGGACUUUUAUUUUGAAAGUCUUUGCAGCGGCACAUUUGAGAUCAUCGGGGGGGUUAUCUCUCAUUCUAGAAGUCGCACUGCAGUGCUGUGUUACAGACAGCAGCCCCAGACUGACAGGAAACCCGAGAAUCAUAUGUGUGUUAAGUUAUGAAAGUUUUGUCCUCUCGCUCCGUUCUUCGCCAGCUGCUCAGCCCGGCGCCGUGCACGCGGCGCUGCCUCCACGCGAGGACCCAGAAGCUUCAUCACGCACCCCGCAGCCGCUCGCCAACUGCCUGCGCGCGCGCGCGCGCGCGAGAGAGAGAGAGAGAGAGAGAGCAGAGCUCUCGUCUGUUGGACUGUGUCCGUCCAUAUGCCCCGUUCGCGGCGCCUCCGUGCCGCUGCCGGUUCCCUACAUGUGUCGGGCCUCUGGAGCGCCGGUGGGCACGCUGACCCAGAAGUGUGCAGCGAGGGGUGGAGAUGAGGGGACGCGGACCCAUCAAGGUGGAGCCGGAUGAGGCUGUGGAGGAUUCUGCACCCGGGAAGACAGAGAUCAGCCCAAAACCAGACAAACAAACCAAAAAGUAUCAUUAGUAAACAGGAAAAUGAUACAAAAUA